Molecule: ribosomal RNA, 273 nt
Filed under: uncultured bacterium
Lineage: Bacteria
Description: partial 16S ribosomal RNA
Rfam family: Bacterial small subunit ribosomal RNA
Source: RNAcentral
UACGGAGGGUGCAAGCGUUAUUCGGAAUCACUGGGCGUAAAGGACGCGUAGGCGGGUUGGCAAGUCAGAUGUGAAAUCCUACAGCUUAACUGUAGAACUGCAUUUGAAACUGCUAACCUAGAGUAUGGGAGGGGGAGAUGGAAUUAGUGGUGUAGGGGUAAAAUCCGUAGAUAUCACUAGGAAUACCGAAAGCGAAGGCGAUCUCCUGGAACAUAACUGACGCUAAGGCGUGAAAGCGUGGGGAGCAAACAGGAUUAGAUACCCCAGUAGUCC